CGUGUAGGCGGUUGGUCAAGCCUGAUGUGAAAGCCCGGGGCUCAGCUUCGGAAGGGCAUCGGAAACUAGCCAGCUGGAGCGCGAUAGAGGAGGGCGGAAUUCCUGGUGUAGCGGUGAAAUGCGUAGACAUCAGGAGGAACACCGGCGGCGAAGGCGGCCCUCUGGAUCGUUGCUGACGCUGAGACGCGAAAGCGUGGGGAGCAAACA
Molecule: ribosomal RNA, 207 nt
Filed under: uncultured bacterium
Lineage: Bacteria
Description: partial 16S ribosomal RNA
Rfam family: Bacterial small subunit ribosomal RNA
Source: RNAcentral